Molecule: long non-coding RNA, 242 nt
Organism: Helianthus annuus (common sunflower)
Lineage: Eukaryota; Viridiplantae; Streptophyta; Magnoliopsida; Asterales; Asteraceae
Exons: 3
Source: RefSeq, a predicted model, not a curated record
AUUUGCAAGAAAAUCACAAAUUGGAGCCUCAAAUCAGUUAGAAAUCGAAAUUCAAGCACUGAAUCGUGAUCACCUUGUCAAAGGGAUCCUAAGGCAAGGAAUCCGGAACGUCAAGUGGACACGCCGGAGGUGAUACCCGCGUAAAAGGUGUGCUUUGAAGGUAUGAAUGAAUCUCUCCCGGAUGAUGAUCAAGCACUUUGUCAAGAACCGAACAUGCAAUUUGAAGCUUCCGCACUGAAUAU